AAAAGGAGAGAAAUGGAGGUUUUGAAUAAAAACCUUCCAAAAUUCGUAGAGAAAGCUAGAGACCUCCAAAUCACUUUGUUCCAAAGCCAAACUUGUGAGAAAUUUCGAGAAGAAUCCAUUGGUACCAGUAUUUCUGGGUGGGUUUCACUGUAGAGAGAGAUCUUCCUCAUCUAAGAUUUCGAAUUUCAUGGAUAAUGGGGAUUUUGAUGGAGCUUGAAGCCAUGGGAGCUUGAAGUGCGCCUAAGAGUCUUGUUGAGGAUCCUACAUCAGAGGAGGCUUGGUAACUCGGUUGUUGGGUAGGCCAUCUAUACAGCUUAGAGAGGAACACAGUUAAUUGAAGAGCCUCAUGGGACAAGGACACUAACCGUGGCUAGAGGUACUAGUAUGAGGAUGUGGAGUUCUGGGUGGUCGGAUGCUACUAUUUGUUUUAGACGUAUUUUUGGAAAAGAUGUAUUGUUGCAUAGUGUUCAUAUUCGAUACAUGUACAUUUAUGUAUUCAGGCAUGAUGAUAUGACUAUGUAGUAUUCAGUUAUGUUAUGUAUUGGAUUGCAUGCUAUUAGAUUUGUGGC
Long non-coding RNA from Gastrolobium bilobum, 569 nucleotides. RefSeq lists it as uncharacterized. NCBI's taxonomy places the organism in Eukaryota, Viridiplantae, Streptophyta, Magnoliopsida, Fabales, Fabaceae. The transcript is spliced from 3 exons. The record is from RefSeq and is a predicted model, not a curated record.